AUUGAACGCUGGCGGCAUGCUUUACACAUGCAAGUCGAACGGCAGCGCGGGCUUCGGCCUGGCGGCGAGUGGCGAACGGGUGAGUAAUACAUCGGAACGUGCCCAGUAGUGGGGGAUAGCUCGGCGAAAGCCGGAUUAAUACCGCAUACGACCUGAGGGUGAAAGCGGGGGAUCUUCGGACCUCGCGCUAUUGGAGCGGCCGAUGGCAGAUUAGCUAGUUGGUGGGGUAAAGGCCUACCAAGGCGACGAUCUGUAGCUGGUCUGAGAGGACGACCAGCCACACUGGGACUGAGACACGGCCCAGACUCCUACGGGAGGCAGCAGUGGGGAAUUUUGGACAAUGGGCGAAAGCCUGAUCCAUCAAUGCCGCGUGUGUGAUGAAGGCCUUCGGGUUGUAAAGCACUUUUGGCGGGAACGAAAAGGACUGUGCCAAUACCACGGUUCGAUGACGGUACCCGCAGAAUAAGCACCGGCUAACUACGUG
Molecule: ribosomal RNA, 484 nt
Filed under: uncultured bacterium
Lineage: Bacteria
Description: partial 16S ribosomal RNA
Rfam family: Bacterial small subunit ribosomal RNA
Source: RNAcentral